Molecule: long non-coding RNA, 244 nt
Organism: Homo sapiens (human)
Lineage: Eukaryota; Metazoa; Chordata; Mammalia; Primates; Hominidae
Exons: 3
Source: RefSeq, a predicted model, not a curated record
GUUUUAUAAGAAUUGAGGCUAAUUUCAUAAUCUUUAGCAAUGCAGAUAUGUAUCUUUAGUCUCAUGAAGAUUGUAAUUCCUUGCCAAGGUUCAUGGUGGAUUCUAUUAACAGACUGAAAAUAUUCAGCAUCUACACAAAGAGACAGAUCUGUUCGUAGACAACUAAAUCUUAUUAAGAGAAGAAAUUUGAACCCUUUAACCAGCAGUGGGCCUCUACCUACGGUCUAAUGCGACCUGGUGGCAU